GGUUAUUGGCCCCCUUGGGAUUGGGACCCGGCCCAAAUUCUUCGGGAGGCAGCAGUAGGGAUUCUUCCCCAAUGGACGAAAGUCUGAUGGAGCAACGCCGCGUGAGUGAAGAAGGGUUUCGGCUCGUAAAACUCUGUUGUUAAAGAAGAACAUAUCUGAGAGUAACUGUUCAGGUAUUGACGGUAUUUAACCAGAAAGCCACGGCUAACUACGUGCCAGCAGCCGCGGUAAUACGUAGGUGGCAAGCGUUGUCCGGAUUUAUUGGGCGUAAAGCGAGCGCAGGCGGUUUUUUAAGUCUGAUGUGAAAGCCUUCGGCUCAACCGAAGAAGUGCAUCGGAAACUGGGAAACUUGAGUGCAGAAGAGGACAGUGGAACUCCAUGUGUAGCGGUGAAAUGCGUAGAUAUAUGGAAGAACACCAGUGGCGAAGGCGGCUGUCUGGUCUGUAACUGACGCUGAGGCUCGAAAGUAUGGGUAGCAAACAGGAUUAGAUACCCUGGUAGUCCAUACCGUAAACGAUGAAUGCUAAGUGUUGGAGGGUUUCCGCCCUUCAGUGCUGCAGCUAACGCAUUAAGCAUUCCGCCUGGGGAGUACGGCCGCAAGGCUGAAACUCAAAGGAAUUGACGGGGGCCCGCACAAGCGGUGGAGCAUGUGGUUUAAUUCGAAGCUACGCGAAGAACCUUACCAGGUCUUGACAUACUAUGCAAAUCUAAGAGAUUAGACGUUCCCUUCGGGGACAUGGAUACAGGUGGUGCAUGGUUGUCGUCAGCUCGUGUCGUGAGAUGUUGGGUUAAGUCCCGCAACGAGCGCAACCCUUAUUAUCAGUUGCCAGCAUUAAGUUGGGCACUCUGGUGAGACUGCCGGUGACAAACCGGAGGAAGGUGGGGAUGACGUCAAAUCAUCAUGCCCCUUAUGACCUGGGCUACACACGUGCUACAAUGGAUGGUACAACGAGUUGCGAACUCGCGAGAGUAAGCUAAUCUCUUAAAGCCAUUCUCAGUUCGGAUUGUAGGCUGCAACUCGCCUACAUGAAGUCGGAAUCGCUAGUAAUCGCGGAUCAGCAUGCCGCGGUGAAUACGUUCCCGGGCCUUGUACACACCGCCCGUCACACCAUGAGAGUUUGUAACACCCAAAGUCGGUGGGGUAACCUUUUAAGGAACCAGCCGCCUAAGGUGGGACAGAUGAUUAGGGUGAAGUCGUAACAAGGUAGCCGUAGGAGAACCUG
RNAcentral lists this ribosomal RNA (1223 nucleotides) under Lactiplantibacillus plantarum. RNAcentral describes it as "bacterial SSU rRNA". It matches the Rfam family "Bacterial small subunit ribosomal RNA", at positions 299 to 1514 of the family's 1533-position model. The record is from RNAcentral. Lineage: Bacteria; Bacillati; Bacillota; Bacilli; Lactobacillales; Lactobacillaceae.